RNAcentral lists this unclassified non-coding RNA (232 nucleotides) under fungal sp. Its description in RNAcentral is "partial internal transcribed spacer region". The stretch from base 1 to 46 matches the Rfam family "Eukaryotic small subunit ribosomal RNA", at positions 1786 to 1831 of the family's 1831-position model. The record is from RNAcentral. Lineage: Eukaryota; Fungi.
AAGUCGUAACAAGGUUUCCGUAGGUGAACCUGCGGAAGGAUCAUUAACACUUUUUCAUUUUAUUGAAAAUUCAUUUUCAAUAAUUUACUUACCCACAUUUUUGGAUGAAUUAUCUCUUUUUUAUUCUUUUAAAAAUUUUAAACCCAAAUACCAUAUUAUUUCUAACAUUUAUACACAAAAAGUUUAAGAAAAACAUAAAAAACAACUCUUAACAACGGAUAUCUAGGCUCUC